UGGGGAAUAUUGCGCAAUGGGGGGAACCCUGACGCAGCCAUGCCGCGUGAAUGGAGAAGGCCUUAGGGUUGUAAAGUUCUUUCGGUAUUGAGGAAGGUUGAUGUGUUAAUAGCACAUCAAAUUGACGUUAAAUACAGAAGAAGCACCGGCUAACUCCGUGCCAGCAGCCGCGGUAAUACGGAGGGUGCGAGCGUUAAUCGGAAUAACUGGGCGUAAAGGGCACGCAGGCGGUUAUUUAAGUGAGGUGUGAAAGCCCCGGGCUUAACCUGGGAAUUGCAUUUCAGACUGGGUAACUAGAGUACUUUAGGGAGGGGUAGAAUUCCACGUGUAGCGGUGAAAUGCGUAGAGAUGUGGAGGAAUACCGAAGGCGAAGGCAGCCCCUUGGGAAUGUACUGACGCUCAUGUGCGAAAGCGUGGGGAGCAAACAGGAUUAGAUACCCUGGUAGUCCACGCUGUAAACGCUGUCGAUUUGGGGGUUGGGGUUUAACUCUGGCGCCCGUAGCUAACGUGAUAAAUCGACCGCCUGGGGAGUACGGCCGCAAGGUUA
This 547-nucleotide ribosomal RNA is filed under the name uncultured bacterium. RNAcentral describes it as "bacterial SSU rRNA". It matches the Rfam family "Bacterial small subunit ribosomal RNA", at positions 355 to 896 of the family's 1533-position model. The record is from RNAcentral.